AGAGUUUGAUCCUGGCUCAGAUUGAACGCUGGCGGCAUGCCUUACACAUGCAAGUCGAACGGCAGCAUGGAGAGCUUGCUCUCUGAUGGCGAGUGGCGAACGGGUGAGUAAUACAUCGGAACGUGUCCGUUUGUGGGGGACAACCGUCCGAAAGGAUGGCUAAUACCGCAUGAGACCUGAGGGUGAAAGCCGGGGACCGCAAGGCCCGGCGCAGACGGAGCGGCCGAUGAUUGAUUAGCUAGUUGGGGAGGUAAAGGCUCACCAAGGCGACGAUCAAUAGCUGGUCUGAGAGGACGACCAGCCACACUGGAACUGAGACACGGUCCAGACUCCUACGGGAGGCAGCAGUGGGGAAUUUUGGACAAUGGGGGCAACCCUGAUCCAGCCAUGCCGCGUGCGGGAAGAAGGCCUUCGGGUUGUAAACCGCUUUUGUCAGGGACGAAAAGCUCCGGAGUAAUAUGCCGGAGUGCUGACGGUACCUGAAGAAUAAGCACCGGCUAACUACGUGCCAGCAGCCGCGGUAAUACGUAGGGUGCGAGCGUUAAUCGGAAUUACUGGGCGUAAAGCGUGCGCAGGCGGUUGGGUAAGACAGAUGUGAAAUCCCCGGGCUUAACCUGGGAACUGCAUUUGUGACUGUCCGACUGGAGUACGUCAGAGGGGGGUGGAAUUCCACGUGUAGCAGUGAAAUGCGUAGAUAUGUGGAAGAACACCGAUGGCGAAGGCAGCCCCCUGGGACGCAACUGACGCUCAUGCACGAAAGCGUGGGGAGCAAACAGGAUUAGAUACCCUGGUAGUCCACGCCCUAAACGAUGUCUGCUGGUUGUUGGGAAUUUAAUUCUCAGUAACGAAGCCAACGCGUGAAGCAGACCGCCUGGGGAGUACGGUCGCAAGAUUAAAACUCAAAG
RNAcentral lists this ribosomal RNA (905 nucleotides) under human gut metagenome. RNAcentral's name for it is "bacterial SSU rRNA". It matches the Rfam family "Bacterial small subunit ribosomal RNA", at positions 8 to 906 of the family's 1533-position model. The record is from RNAcentral.